Molecule: long non-coding RNA, 937 nt
Organism: Quercus robur (English oak)
Lineage: Eukaryota; Viridiplantae; Streptophyta; Magnoliopsida; Fagales; Fagaceae
Exons: 5
Source: RefSeq, a predicted model, not a curated record
UCAUCAGACUGCUUAAUAUUUUCUCUCUCUGAACAAAAAAACAAGCGAUACUGCGAUACAGAGAAAGGGAAGGAGGAAAAAAAAAAAAAUUGCAAUCCAGUGAAGAAUCGUGCGAUCAAACGUUCGUCCCAGAGGUAUUGAGAGAGAGGCGAUGAAAUCGAGAGAGAGGCUAUGAAGACACGGAGAAAGAAAUAGAAAAAGAGAGAAGCGAUGAAGACACGGUGAAACAAACAGAAAAAGAGAGAGGCGAUCCUAGUACACGGAGAAAGAAGAAAUCGCCUCUCUGUUUCUGACAGAAUGACUCUCUGCCCACAAACAACGCCUUUGAUGGGUUUUAUUCUUUUUCUGAUUUAUUUAUAGAGAUAGAAAUAGAGAAAGAGAGGCGAUGAGGCCUGGGACACAGAGAAAGAGGCAGAGUUCAGUUUCCCCACCACCAUCCGUUCCCUUUCCAGAUUUAGACCACUAGAUUGCCGGAACCGACAUCGACAACGGGGCACAUUUGCAUUAGACGAAAAUUUUGAAGAACAAAGUGGAUUUUAAUUAGAAAGUGUUGAAGCCCAAAUGAAGAUUUUUGGCAAAAACAAGUUUGAAGAGAAGCCAAUUUUGUAGCUAUCUGAAAUCUGGGCUGUACAUGAACCACUAACAAAUGUAGAAUCAAGGUAACUAUCGACUGUCAUUCACAUAGGCAACAAAGCUCUACAUCAACUUUGACAUUCCAAAAGUCACAAAGGAAAUUAUGCCAAAAGGAAGACUUGGAAGCAUAAAAAAUGCUUAAGAAUUAUGCACCAAGUUCUCUUCUCCGUACCCUUUUCUUAUUUACUUAAUUUUCUGUUUUAUUUCAGAUUAUGAGAGAUUUAAUUUUCUGUAUUUAGGCUAUGGUUUUGUAAUUUGAGCAUCCUAAGACUCUUAUAUCAACAUGAAUUUAAGUUUUGUAAUA